Molecule: long non-coding RNA, 2303 nt
Filed under: Gossypium barbadense (sea-island cotton)
Lineage: Eukaryota; Viridiplantae; Streptophyta; Magnoliopsida; Malvales; Malvaceae
Description: long non-coding RNA (GBAR_LNC013334)
Source: RNAcentral
GUAAAUAAGUAAUAAAAGAAAAGAAAUCUAAACGGAAACCACCUUGGUGUAAAUCUAUUCGUUUGUUUUUGAAUCUGUUUUGUAUUUUUUUUUGCUAAAAUGUUCUUACAAAAAUAAAAAAAGCCCCCAUUACAGAUGCCAAGACCGGUUUUUAAACCGAUUCUCCUACCCCCCCAAAAUACAAAAAUAUUCUUUUAUUUCUUUUUCUUCUUUCUGUCACUGCUUUUGUUGCUUUGCAGUUACUUGAUGGUGCAAGUGGGGUGAUGGCGAUGGGACGUGCGCGGCGGCCAGCAGAGCGGCGGUGGCAGUGGAGGCGGCGCCGAAGUCAAAAGAUAGAGAACCCUAGGUGCGGCGCACCUAGGGUUUUGUUUAUUUUUGUUCUUUUGUGAUUUGGGCUAUUAGGGUUUGUUUUUGGGUAUUGGGCUUGGUUUAAUUGUAAUUGGGCUGAUGGGGUUUUUAGAUUAGGUGGGUUUGGUACUGAAAUUUUGGGUAGUGGGCCCGGGCAAUAUAUUGGGCUGUACAGACCUUUCGUUUUUUUUUUGUUUUUGAUCUGCUUUGCCUUUUUUGUUUUUGCUUGAAUCUUUGUUUUUUCUUUUGUAUUCAACAAACAAAAAUCCCGGAAAGCUACAAUGGUUCAAAAUAAUGGCUUUAUAGUCUAAAUUACAAGAUGUUUAUUUGUUUUUUUUCUUCUUCUUUUUUUCUGUGUUGUCCACUUCUGCUUGUUGGCUUCUUGUAGGUGGUGUCAGAGAAGCGUCAGGCGGUGGGGUGCAGGGAGGUGGCGUGUGGCAGCAGCAAGGCUUAGGGUUGGAGUAGCGGCUAGCUAGGGUUUCCCUUGGCUGAUAUUUUUUAGUUUUGUGGGCUGUUUGGGCUUUAGGUUUUUUAGUUUUUUUUUGGAUUUUAAUUUGUAUUUGGGCUGAAGUUUGUUUUGGGCUGGUGAGAUAUUUGGGUUUUAUUUUGUCAGAUUUGAGUGUGUUGGGCCUGGGCAAAAUUUGGGCCUUAUAACGUUGAACACCUUGAUUAUCAUGUUAACACACGGACAGUGGUGUAGCUAGAAGAGUUUUUUAGGAGCCGAAAUUUCACUAUUUUAAUAGUCAAUAUCUUUAUAAUUUUUAAAAAAUUAAAUCAAUUUUUUUUUUAUUUUUAGAGGGUCAAAAUGUAAUUUUAUCAUUACUAAUUUAAAAUUUUAUAAAUUAUAAAAGACUUAAAUAAAAAAAAGUUUAUUUUAGGGAGGGUUGAGUUCCUCCCUUAGUUUUGCCAUUGCACAUGGGGUUCAAAAAUGAUGUGUGGAAGAGUUAUAAAAUUAGUAUAUAAAUUUAUUAGAGUGUACUUUCUAUAAUACACUUUAGGCAACAAAUUACAUAUUAUGUGUUACCGAUAAUCCGAAUUGGUGUCUCAGCUGCCUUUCCUCGGCGGAUAAGUUCGCCUUCUCAUCCCUUUUUGAAUUUGCCCCUUUUUGCUUUUCUCUUUUCCCCUGCGAAAGACCAAUUAAUGAUCGUCCUGCUUUCUUUUUACCUUCUCUAUUUCCUCUUUGCUUGUUUUUUGUAAAGUUGGAUCUCCUCGUAUUAAUCUGAAUAUUGGGAUAAUGGUGAAUCGUUGAUGGAUCUUAUUAACAAAAGUGGAUAGAUUUUAGGUGUUAUUGCAGCAGUUGGAAUUUGGAACCUAUUGAAGCUUAUCGCUUUUCCUUUAAGAAGAAUCCAAUAUAUUAUUGAUCAAUAAGAAUGACAAAAUUGGCAUCUCUAGGACCUAAAUGAGCAGCAAAGGAGGGAAAUUGGCAUCUCUAGGACCUAAAUGAGCGGCAAAGGAGGGAGUUUCCAAACUUAAAAGCACUCUACUUAAUUGUUUGAUUAUUGAAUAUGUCAUUAUGCACGCAUUUUCCUAGCAUUUACUUUCGAGGUUGGCGAUCGCGCGCUUCAUAUAUUGUUUAAUGCUACUUUCAGUGAUGUUGUCAGGAAGAAAAAAGACAGGUCUCUAACUAAAGUACAAAUUUCCGCUAGGCAUUAUUAAACGUGGAGCCAAGUUUCAGGUUGCUUCAUACGUCCUUCAAGGGAAACAUCCCCUCGCGCGAUGUAUUCCAUGACAUAACAAUAAAAGCAGAAGUCAAUAAAAGCAAAUCGCUUCAAGACGAAGUCUUGUGAUCGAUCGAUUGUCGCUAGGCUCUGCCAAUAUCCGCCCAGAUAUCGCUCGAUCCAACUGUUUAACCUCCCACUACUGCGCGAUAGCUGGACUAUGUACCAUACAUAUCUUAUUUAAUACUUAUAUUUGAGCAUUUUAUUAGACUUGUAUCACAUUUAAUUGGGUCAUCA